AUGUUAAAGCAACAUUUAUUGAGCUCUUGCUGUGUGCCAAGGCAGGUGAGGACUGUGGGGAAACAACCAAGAACCUGCCUGCAGAGCCUGUUGUCUAAGGGAAGGGCUUACAUGGCCGGAUGGAGAAUGAAUUCCUCUAUAAUUAUUGCCCAAGGGCACACCUGGCGCCAGGCGGGUCUGAGGCACCAAUGCGGGGCCAGACCUCCACCACCGUCCGGUACAGCGAGGCGCAGACUCGGAACCAAAACGCAAAAGGCAGAAGGAAGAAGUCGGGGCGGACGCUGGGCGGGGCGGCAAGGAGAACAGGGCGGUUAGCAUCCGCAGGGGCACACCGCCGCUCCGGGCAGGGCUGGGGAGAGCCACCGCCCGGGAGCCCAGAGCGAGCGGUGGUUGGGGCAGCCUCCAUGGCGCGCCCCGAAACUCCGACGCCGAGCUCGCCACCUCGAUUCCCGCUGCACUGAAGGAUUCCAGCAGUGCCAACCGGAGUCGGUUACUUAGGACUCAGAACGUUAAGAAGCUAGAGCACUCGGCAGUAAGCGCCAUCCCGGGAGCAGGACGCGCAGCAACCGGGCGCAGGGAGGACGACAUCCACCCUCCAGGAGCCCCGCACGUACAGACGGCGGCCGGCCGCGGCGCCUGGGCUGCGCGGCCGCAAAGGAGCUCCGGCGUGUCGUAAAAGGGCCGCACGGGAGCACAGCUCUGGCAGACGGCUGGGGCCCCAUUUUGGACGCCGUCUCUGCUGCGAAGAGCUGGGAGAACCUGUUGCUCAUCACGGCGAGCUCGCUGUCAGCCGGCCGGCCUCUCGGGGGCGGUGACCGGGCCGCAGGGGCGGGGGCGGCGCGAUGCGGCCCGCGGACGCGGACGAGCGGCGAGGGCCCGAGCAGCCUUGCGGCCGCCCCCUGAACCCCACGCGCGCCACCGCCCGCCGGGACGUCGCCGCCCUCGAGCGCGAGCACGUGCGCGCGCACCUGCGGGCCCGCCGGAAGCUGCUGGAGGUCGCGAGCCUGCUGGACGAGCUUCAGAGCGAGGUGGACGCCUCAGCCGAGGGCGUCCUGGGUCCCGGCCGCCGCGCGGGCGGCGAGGCGGAGGAGCGGGUGCUGAAGCUGUGCGAGAAGGCGGAGAGGAAGGCCGCCGAGGCCGCGCUGAUGGGCCGGAGGAUCGUGGAGCUCCACCGGCAGAUAGAGAGCUGCGGGUGCUCCUGAAGGACGCGGGGGCGGGAGGCGCACCGGCCUCUCCCCUCGGGUGAGAGCCGAGGCCAUAGCGCCAACAAAAGACGCGGGGGCAGUGAGAGAAGCGUGAAGCGGAAGUACAGGACGGGAAGUUUACGUGCUGUGAUGAGAUUGGAGCGCUGCCCAUGUCCGGACAGCAAACGAGGCUUGCGGUCAGAGUUCUGCAAGACAGAAGACACUGCCUGGCUGCAGCUGCUGAAGCAAGAACCCAGACUAGUCAAGGAUGUGGAUGCCGCUGCUUUGGAUCAGAUUGAGAAGCCCCUGGGGGGCUGUUGGGCAUGAAGAGGGGUGGCGGCUGCAUUUUGGAAUUUUGCAGUCUCAGAUCAGAGGAGGAGAGCUGUGUUCUUUUCAUUUUCUUUGUUUGCUUGUUUUUUGGGGUUUUGUUUUUUUUUUUUGUCUUUUUUCAGAAAUGUAAUUUUUCUGUGGCAUGUUAACUGGUGCACAUCAUGUAACCUGUCUGGUGAGUAACCUAGAAUAGGGGAUGAGUUCUAGGUACUAUGCGUAUUGGCUGACUUUGGGGUAAACUUUUUGAUAUAAUCAUGCAUUUCAGGAGCUUCUUUGCCACAACUGCACGUGACACUGCAUGGCCUGGAGGGUUUAGGGAGGAGAGUGUGGAUCUGACCGAGUCAGGCCCCAAAAUGAUAGCAGGAAGCAUCUUCCAGGCUGAGAUGAUAUCCACCCUAGGUCCUCAGAGCAGACCUCACAGAGGUUGAGAGCAGAGCUCUAGCUCUAGCUCCCUUUGAUAAAGCUCACUUGCCUGGAAAAACAAAUGCUGAAAGACAGUUUUUAGAACCUUUGUGCAAAUAACCAAAGCCAUUGAUUUGGCCAGGAAAAGGUGAGAUAAAUAAAUUCUUUUCAGAAUGAAA
This is an RNA transcript of Zalophus californianus (California sea lion), 2095 nucleotides long. It is a transcript of the gene named putative MORF4 family-associated protein 1-like protein UPP, with no coding region annotated. The transcript is spliced from 3 exons. Lineage: Eukaryota; Metazoa; Chordata; Mammalia; Carnivora; Otariidae. The record is from RefSeq and is a predicted model, not a curated record.